AGCGAAGGUGUGGAAGUAGGACUGAGGCGAGGAGUAGACUAUCUGGUUGUAGAGCUCCUGCUCCCAAACCUGCCUGCUCGUCUGUGGAGAAACACAUGACGCAGAGCACACAUGAAUCUGUAACUUCCAUUUUCAGAGGGAGGGAGUGCACUGUUCUUGUUCUUCUCCUGCUGUGAGUAUACUCACUUUGCAUCCACACAAAUUGUGUACCUGAUGUCAUUUUUUUUUUUAAACUUGGAAUAAAUAGCAAUUUAAAACUUUGGUACAAAUUAAAGACAUAUUUUAUUGACAGAUAUAGACAUUCAAAUUACGCACUCACAGGAUGAAUAACAACGUCAAAACGUUUUUUAAGUCAAAUAUUAAAGACACAAAGAAAAUACUCCAUUUUAACUUAAACCCCUUAGGUCAUUAUUCAACCAUUAGGAACAUUCUAGGACUGCUACAACAGACACAGAAUGUUAACACAGAAUGGUAAUUGGCCUUGGCUGAACAUAUAAAAACAGUGUGUUAUCAUCUAUUUCAAUGUGACACAAUUUAUUCUUUGGUUUGCAAUCAGGGCCUUUUCAGGAAUUCA
Molecule: long non-coding RNA, 574 nt
Organism: Etheostoma cragini (Arkansas darter)
Lineage: Eukaryota; Metazoa; Chordata; Actinopteri; Perciformes; Percidae
Exons: 2
Source: RefSeq, a predicted model, not a curated record